GAGAGUAUAAUUUAAUGGAAAAAUAAAAAGCUUCAACCUUUAUAUUCUCAGUUCGAAUCCGAGUACUCUUG
RNAcentral lists this transfer RNA (71 nucleotides) under Gomphillus americanus. Its description in RNAcentral is "tRNA-Trp". It matches the Rfam family "tRNA". From Rfam's summary of the family: Transfer RNA (tRNA) molecules are approximately 80 nucleotides in length. Their secondary structure includes four short double-helical elements and three loops (D, anti-codon, and T loops). Lineage: Eukaryota; Fungi; Ascomycota; Lecanoromycetes; Ostropales; Graphidaceae. The record is from RNAcentral.